This 243-nucleotide ribosomal RNA is filed under the name uncultured bacterium. RNAcentral describes it as "partial 16S ribosomal RNA". It matches the Rfam family "Bacterial small subunit ribosomal RNA", at positions 28 to 271 of the family's 1533-position model. The record is from RNAcentral.
GACGAACGCUGGCGGCGUGCUUAACACAUGCAAGUCGAGCGGUAAGGCCCUUUCGGGGGUACGACGAGCGGCGAACGGGUGAGUAACACGUGGGUGACCUGCCCUCAGCUCUGGGAUAAGCCUGGGAAACCGGGUCUAUAACCGGAUAUGACUCCAUGACGCAUGUUGUGGGGUGGAAAGCCUUGUGCGGCUGAGGAUGGGCCCGCGGCCUAUCAGCUUGUUGGUGGGGUGAUGGCCUACCAA